This is a long non-coding RNA of Gasterosteus aculeatus aculeatus (three-spined stickleback), 27331 nucleotides long. The record is from Ensembl. NCBI's taxonomy places the organism in Eukaryota, Metazoa, Chordata, Actinopteri, Perciformes, Gasterosteidae.
CCCAGCUCGCUCAAUCUCCCUGAUAUGAAUCUCCUUAAAACCCAGCCAUUGAGUGCCCUGCCAAAUCCAUCAGCGCAGACGAAAGAUUGGUGACAGGCGCUGAUAAGACCUUCUCUGUGGUCAAGUCUCUAUGACAAGGAGCAGAGGAGCAGCCGCCGCCACUGGCGAGCAGGAGCACUCUGAAAGUGAAAAAGAAGUGGCAACGGAGCCGUUAAAAACACUUUCAGCUUUGUUUUCUUUUUGCUACUGCGGGAGCCAAGUUGAAACUCUUGAUUUGAGAAGUUGGUUGAUUAAAGACUGAGAGCUUAAUUGGAUGCCUGCCCUUGAUCCUUGCUGUUAUCCUUUCAGUCUUCUGCACUCAGUCCCCAUUAUAUUUCAGAGUCUAGGAAGGGUUUUACUCUCUUUCAGCUGUAUGUGUGUUGCUAGCAUGCCUAUCCUAUGCGGCCGUGGAUGGGGUAUAUAGAUAUACUGCAGGGGUGUCACUUCGAUCGAACACGGGGGGAUUGCGGAUUGUGUAGCGGGAGGAUGUGGCAGACGUUAAGACGGCCGACGGGGUGGCACGGAUGGUACAGGGUUGCAGACUCCAACUGCGGGCCGCACUGUGAUAUACUGUGUAUAUAUUUAUAUCCGUCUUGGACUGCUUUGCAGCUUCAGGGGUCUAGACCAUCCCUUCAUCCAUCCAUCCAUCUGAAAACCACUAAUCCAAUCACAGGGCUAACACAGAGACAUACAACAAUUCACAGACCUACAGGCAAUUUAGAGUCACCAAUCAACCUGAUCCAUAGAUCAUGUCUUUGGACUGUGGGAGGAAGCCGGAGAACCCGGAGAGAACCCACACAGACACGGGGAGAACAUGCAGACUCCACACAGAAAGGCCACUGGGCGGAGUUGAACCCCAGACCUUCUUGCUGUGAGGCGACCGUGAUAACCACCACAACGCCGUGCCGCCCUGGACCACUUAACAUGAUUCUGCUCUACCAGAAAAUCCUGAUGGAGAAUAUCCGGCCACCAGUUUGUGACUUCAAGCUCAAGAGCACUUGGGUACUGCAGCUGGAUGAUGAUCUAAAAGCCCUGAGCAGGUCCACCUCCGAUGGCUCAGAAGAAGUAAAUGAAGGUUUUGAGCAACCUAGCCAAAGUCUGGCCUAAAACUUAAUUGAGAUGCUGUGGCAUGACUUAAAAGCCAUCCAAUGUCGCUGAAUAAAAACAACUGUGCAGAAAUGUGGGCCAAACUUUCUCCACAGCGAUGUCAAAGACACAUGGCUGGUUAACACUUGAUGUCAGUUGUUGCCACUUUUUCAAGGGCCAGGUACGUUUUGAUGGCUCUGCAGUUUGUAUUUACUCUUAUCUUUAUCUAAAAUGAACAUGUCUUUGAUGAUCUGAAACAUUUAAAUGUGACAACUAUGAAAAACUAAAUAAGAAACCAGGAAGGGAGCACAGUACUUGAUAUGUAAAUAUAUAUUGUGUUAAUUAACAACUUCAGCUAAACACAAAGAGAGCUCGAGGACAGCUAGCUUAUAAAAGAGGGUGUGGGUUCUGCAAACUCAAGCUUCCACAGAUGGUGGGGGUCAGGGGAGCGCAGGCCUGCUGGGAGCCAAAGCCAGGGGCUUGAUUAAACAUCAGCCGCACGGCAGGGAGCCCCAUAGAGGAGUCUGGCUGCCCCGGUUCUGCUCCAUAGCCUCCCCGUUCCACUGUGAAAGUUUGUAUGAACGGGGUCAGCAGUGGAAAGGAAGGAGAGAAAGGGGCAGCUGUGAAACCUGCUUUUGACAUUGUAAUACCUAAAAUAUCUGUAAGUAAUAGUUGACUUGUUUUCUCAUGACUGAAACAUAUGCUACAGGGGAUAGAGGGAAGGAGGAUGGAGAUGAAUCAAUCAGAAUCCAAAUCUCCAGUGUGUUCUGAGGGUGUGUGUUUCUGAAUGUUCCUGGUCUGUAAGGACGUGUAGGUCCCAUCACGACUCAGAUAAAGUCAACGAGUUGGAGAAUAACUACAAAAUAGUGAAAACUGUAAAUAAAUUUAUCCACUCCAAAGACACAAAAGAAAAGGUUGGCAAAGGCCCUCUGUGUCCCUAUAUGGUUGACAUCGCGGAGACCGUUGGACCCCGUUGACGCAAAAGAGAUCACGUCCUCCAUUAUCUGCAACACUUUGAUCCAGGCCAAAACUCUGCCGCAUCUGAGCCCGCUGCAUGAAUGCCAGCUUUGCAGAACCAAAGAAAAUAAACAUGUUUCCCCUUCCUGUCCUCUGCCGCAUGGCCUCAAAGAAGAUUAGAAAUGUGUCAUUCACUCAUCUAUCUUUCACUCUCAAAAUGAAUAAAAGAGCAGGGCCGUUAUCUGUCUCUCCAGAGGUAUCAAGAGCCCAUAACAUGAUUUCACUUUUCCUAAUCUCUCUGCUCCGAUUUCUUUAUGGGAAACCACUGCUGCUCACAUUCUUCUGCCAUGACGGGGCAAUCUUGUUUCUUUAAUAAUUUACGAGGCAAUCUACCUGCGGGGCGGUCUAUUGACGACCACAUGCAGCUGAAUUUGGGAAAUAAAUAUUAAUUGACGAUAUUUGCACUCAAAGAAGGGUAAGAAACAGUUUUGCAGAGACAGUACAAUAUUUAUACUAUUCACUUCCCUUUUAAUCCAAUAUAAAUGAGAGAUAAGAAAACUUAACCUCAGUGAGCUGUAUUAGCAUUCAGGAACUCACCACCAGCAAAAUGUCAUGCUUUCCAAUGACUAGUUUACAGUCGGCGGGGAGGAUAAGUGGAUUCUCAAUCGCAAUUUAACAACAAAGUCAAAUAAAAAGGACCGUAGAGCUUUGCCAAGCCAAAAACUUGUGAGAGUGUUUGUGGUAAGAAACUGAUAUAAAUGUGGUGCACCCAAAUAUGUGUAACCACAUUUGGUAUUAUUUUAAUGAGUAUUUUAAUGACCCGAACUUGAUAAGUACUUGUGUGUAAAUAUACUUAGAUAAAUAAGACAAUCCUUAUUUUACAUUCAUUAUAUGUAGUCCUGUGUGGAGGUGAUAAGUAAAGGAGAGAUGUUGAUAAGCAAAACAUUUGGCACUGUAGUCGGCCGUUCCCAGUUGCCUAUUGCGGACGGACUUCCUGCCUCCUUUACACGCAAUCUGGAGAAAGAGACGAGUGUUGCUGUGGUUCUUGCUCUUCAGACUACCUUUAUUUUACAGGUUUGUACCUGGUUAAAAUUGCCAUAAAUGACGGCCUUAAGCUUUGUUUUGGUUCUGUAAGUGACAAACGGUAAUGGUGUGAUGAUUUAUGUGUCUUAUGAUAAAGGUUUAUUGAGCCGCAGCAGAGUAAAAGCAGGAAAGCCGAGCCACAUCUCGCGUGAGUUUAUGCUGUUAUCUGUCGGGAAUGCCGGGAGGCAAGACUCAAAUGCAGAUUUUUCGAAACACAAAAAGACUUUAAUAGUCAUAAACUCCAACACAAAAUGGCCACAGGGCAAAAACGCAUACAGGUACCAGGGGGUAAAAAGGCAGGCAGGUACUAGAGACAUUCAGGACAUUCGACAAUGACGCGACAAGAGACCCACAACUGCUUAAAUACACUAGGGAGGUGCAGGUGAUUGGACACAGGUGGAAACAAUCAGACAAUCACAGGGGAUGACAGGACAAGGCAGGAAGUGAAGACAAGAGGCAGAAAACAACAAAAAAAGACAGGAAAUAAACACACCGUUACAUUAUUGCGAGAGUUCGCCAAGUCUAGCCUAAUGUAUUUCUUUUCACAGUAACCUCUAUUCAGGUUUUGCCCUUCGUACAUUGCCCUAAUUUAUUUAAUAAGACUCCUGAUGUGACUUAAUAUGUGUUUAAUCCAGAAUGUAAUAUUUGUUCAGUAUGCAGAGACAGUGAUUUCUUUUGCCAUGUUUUACAUAUGUUGGGCUAUUACAUGAGAAUAUGGUUCAGUACAAUCAUAUUGAGGUAAUUAAUAUACAUUCUAAAGUGCAAUGUCCAUAUUUGAAUAAGUGUUAUGCACUUACAUAGAAACACAGAUGAGCAAUCCUGAGUUUCUAUGUCUAUGGUAGUCAAUGUGGUGUUAAAAGGUCCCUUAUGUAGUUGGUCAAUUGAAACUACAUUAGGCAGUAAUGACAGCUACGGUAACUACAGGUGCAUAUUGCUGUAAAUUUACCUUUAUUUAGACUGAUCUAUAAGGUAAACAGGACAAGAAAAAUGCACUGGUUGUAAAUUGUAUAUGUGGUGAAUCAAUUGAAUAGACCCAAUCUGGAGAAAGAGAAGAGUGUUGCUGGUGUUCUUGCUCUUCAGACUCUAUCUUUUCAUUUUACAGAUAUAAAUCUUUUUGUUAUUGUGGUCAUCAUGUCCGAGACCCGUGACAUAAACAUUUUAACAGUGAACCCCAAAUGUGUAUUGCUGUUACAAGAUUUCAAUUUAUUCACAUGAAGCGGCAAAUCACCACUGCAAAGAGUUGAAAUUGGAAUGUAAACAAAUCUGAUGCAUUCUUGGAAUUUUUUCCGCCUAUCUCAGAAUAGAGAACGCUUCUGCGGCCACUUUAGGCGUAUUUGUUUCGCACUAUGUGAUCCCUCAUAAACCCCUUCUAGUAAUUAAACCAUUCCAACUCACCACAGGAGAUAUGAAAAGAAAUGUUGGGUUGCUGCACGGCAGCAGGAUUGUGACCAGGUGCUCUAGGCAGGUGAGGAUGCAACUCUCUAAAUGUAAAGUAGGGCAGUACUGAAAAAAGGAGCAAAAGUAUGAUCAGCAAAAGCCUUCCACUGAAAAGGACACAAAGACCCAAAGGCAGCCUGCUCUCUUUUCUUUUUUGGCUUCCUCAAAUUUGCUCUCGAAUCCUGCUGAGCAAGAAGCUUGAUUGACACAUCACUGACUCCGCACGACAAUCACACUUUUCAGAGGGCUCCAUUAUUAGCUCUUAUGGAAUGAGUUUCUCUGAGUACAUGGCUGGAGGCGGAGCUCCAUGAAACAAUGAGACGUGGACGACUAUCCGCGUAACAGCCAGGCGGACGGGAUUAUGAAGGGUCGGCAGCGCUGCUCAAAAAGCCUUUGUUAAGCAAUUCUAUAUUCUCUCAAUUGUUUUCCCCACAUGUCUUCACCUCCUCCCCUUUAUAAAUUGCUUGUUAAUUAAGUGUGACAAGUGUGUGUGUGUCAGCAGAUAUUUAAAAAAAAUAAAAACAUUAAGGGUUCUGGGUGAUAAAGGGCCAGUUGUGGUCCAUGAGCUUUGGUGUUGUGUUUGACCACAUGGGGAUGUACUUUGGAGGUAGGGAAGGAAAUUGUUGCCACUGCAGUUUCAGCGAUGGAGGGAGAGGGGACGUUUUGGAAAGAGAAAAUUACUUAUUCUUUUGUUAUUGUGAGAAAAGAACGGCAGAUAAGAAGAAAGCGGGAGGAUGCCGGUGUUUAUUUGGCUCUCACAGCAGAACAAAUAGUGCAGGUGAUGUUUGGUGUCUGUAUGUGUGUGCAAGUGUGGUGUACUACUGUGUGUGUGUGUGUGUGUGUGUGUGUGUGCAGGCCUUACAGUCUGUUACAGCAGCAGAUAGUAGUAAUUUCAUGUAGUUUGAUAAGACUGUUUAUCUCUGUUGUUGGGUGCGUUUCAUAAGUUCUCAGAUCUGCAAGGUGGGGGGCGCUCUCUCAAUAGGAAUACUGGAAAAUCUAAAUCCGUCUUCCAGUCCUCAGAUGAAACAUUUGGAGCUAAUAGGCAAGCAUACGUAUCCCAGCAGAAGCAAAACAUGGGAUCGUAAUGGUGGAUUCAAACCAGCACAAAGGAGUAAAAGGAGAAUUUGUUGCUGGACCUCAUCUCACACACACACUCCUUCUGUAGUCAACGCGAGAUGUCUUCUCUGACACACUCAGGUUUACAGAGACAUGAAUAUACAUUUAUCAGCGCCAUGAAUAACUGGGGUGAGUUGAGAGGCCCGGUGAUAGAGCUCGUGCCUCCCCCCUGCCUCCCCCGUCGUUAAACAGUAUUCGGCUUAACUUAUGCGAGUGCCAAUCACUCCAAAUGAAAAGUGCAAAUUAAACUCUCACGCUCAAAUGCAUAAUUAGACCUUUGGCUCGGCAGUGGAGCGUAAACGAUUUAGGGUGGAGAGAUGAGUGGCCAUGCAGGUUUUCUGGUGUGCUUGUAGACGCACACACUCUCACAUACACACACAAUCUCAUUACACUCUGCUGGAGAGUGUUACAGGGCAGAAAGCUACACUAAGUCAAAUGUAUCUUGAAAUAAUGGUACUGAUUUAGGCAGCAGCAAGAAUCCCAUUCAAUUAUUAUUAUUAUGUAAUAGAAUCCUAAUCAAUCAGUUAUCUGAUAAAGUGUUUGUCUUCUUACCACUCAAAGCCAUUUUCACCACGUCAUUCACACCAAUUCACUCAGCGGUGGCAUCCUCGCAGUUUGGGAGUUUGGGUUAAGUAUAUUGCCAAACAACAAAUUAUCAAGCAGUGCCAGGAAUCGAACUGGACUCCGUUCAACCACUGUGUUUCAUUGCAAGCUUGCUUCUCUUACAGUGAGAGACACAAAGGCUGCCUCCUCAUGAUUGAGUAACAUGUCAAACCUACAGUGGCCAGGUGCGGCAGGAUGUUACUGAGCCUUCUUUGAGGUGUGGGAGUUUAGGGGGAUUGGAUAGCGUUGACUUUACCAUGAACCGGCAGAACCUGUGAAUUCUCACAGCUGCCUCCUUCAUCAUUUGCAGAGGGCCUCAUAUCACUGUGGAAAAUCAGGGUUUGGAAGGGCAAAAGAUAUAUCACUCACUCACUCCCUCCUCCUCCUCCAUCCCUCUCAAGCUCUCCCUCCAUCUCCAUUUAUACUGCGCUCUCCAACUGUGAGGGUGGGUUUAUUGCUUCUUGUUCAAGGCAGUUGUCAUAACUCAUGAUUCUUUGAGUUUAUCUAAUAUUCCAAUUAUAUAGCUGCCACUAUUUUUUAAGAGCGCUUCUCAAGGGCAUGACCGCAGCUCAGGCAUUUCUCAGCCCGCCGACUAUAACAGGUUGACUGGCUAUGACAUGUCCUUCCAAUUAUAGAUUUGCAAUACUCUUCUCUGCAAUGGAACAAGUCCAACGCUUUCUACUUAAGAUAUUUUCACAAGAAGUGCAGUAUUUCAGCUGGUUGUGUUGAAACCUGAGAUGCAGUUAGUGAAAAAAGAUUUGAUUUUGACUAAAAAAUUCAAGAUACACUGUGCAAUAUUGCUUUUCUCAAUUAAUGUCUCCUCUUUCUGUCUGAAAUGUUGAAGCAUCAAAAACUGCUUUCAAGUAAAGAGUGAAUGUGGCCGACCACUGCAGAAAAUAGUACUGCAAUGGAAAAAUGGCAUCGUUACCAAAUGUGUAUUGGUCAUGUAUGCAUAUUCAUAUUACUAAGAAAAGCUAUUUCUGCAGCUGUACAAAAGCACUGGCUGGACAACUGCAUGCGGUAGCUAAAUAAAUGAAUGCUCAUGUAUACACAUUAAUAAUAUUAUACAGCUGUACAAUAAUGCACCAUGUAUAGUUUACAUGGUAAUAUUAUGGUGCAUAUGCAUUUAUGUCGCAACCCUGUGUGGGCGUCAGACAAAUCCUCACUUUAACUGUGCAACUUCCCUUUUAUCCAUGACCCGAGGGGCCAUAUACAGGUGGGUGAAAUGAUUUAUACAGUGUGUUACCAGACUUAUUAAGUUGUGAAUUUGAGUCAAGCCAUAUAUCUUAACACAACUUCAUUUAAUGCAGUAUAAUUUAAUGUAACAUACGGAAACACAAAGCAACAUACUCAAAUUACAGUGCAAACGUAACAUCCUUAUUUCUUUGAUAUGUUCCUUAACUUUAGUAGUUUUCUUUCUGCAUCUACCCAAGGGGAUGCAUAACUCAUCAUAGUUUAAAGCAUUGGGUUGAACCAAACCUCUACAAACGUAUUUUAAGUUAAUAGUUGUAGUACUAUUUUAAUAUACCAUACACGUUACAUUUAACAUUUUACCUUUAAAAAUUGGGUGACAACAGUAUGUAUGUGGUUACAUGUUUUUCUACUAUUACUGAUGAGUCAUAAACUGUUGGAGCCAUAACAAGUUUAAUGUUUUUAACUGAAUAAUCGUGAGGGUUUGCAAAGUACUGCCUGCAGAGAUAUUGAAGCACAUAUUCAACAAUGCAUCCCACACAGACAAAAUUAUUUAGUUUUUCUAGAAAAAGGCAUCUUUAACAAACAAACUUCUUUUUCUCCCUUGUUUAGUCAAUGCCUCCCUUUUUUUGUAUUUAUUAUGAUUCCGUGGAUGGAAAGCCACUGGCCAACUUUCUGUGUUCUUUAUGGUUUUGUACAUCUAUUUCCAGUGCAAGUAGCAAUGCAACUUUCAUUUUGGUCUCUUCCCGGACUAGAGUCUAUUAAAUUAAAGUCAUUUUAUUUUCUAUCGCCCAAAAUCACAAAUUACAAGUUUUCCAUAGAGGGCUUUAAAGUCUGAUAAACCCUCAGAUCAGCCCAGCAAAGCGUCUCCCAAAAAUGAAAAAAAGUCUAGAGUGGGAGCCAUGGUAGGAGUAGAAGAAACAAAAAAUGGAGAUUAGGAAGCAAAUCUGAGUUAAUGCAUUUUGCUGAUGGAUGAUCUCCUUAUUUCAUCAUUGAUAUUUUUCUCACAAAUGAAUGCUGCAGGACACUCUACCUCUGUCUCUGGGUUUAAAAAAAUAUAUGAGAUACAAUUAGAUAAUCAGUCCCUUAGCAGGUGAAUUUACAAGAUUUACAGCAGCAAAAGUGCAAACAAGAAAAUUUACAAAGAAAAACCAUAUUUAUUGCAAAUAAAUAUGCAGUAAUAAAACAAGAAUGAUUCAUAAAACUUAAAUUAAAAUAUUUUAUAUAUAUAUAUGCCAGAGUGACUAUUUUCAUUUAAUAAAUAAAUAAUACACACAUUUAAUUAAUGUAUUAUUUUAAUUGAGUACAGUAAAUUAAAAUAAUAUAUAUUUUAAUGAGUGAAAAUAAAUAGAACUCUGAUUAAUUGCAUCAGAUCCUACAGAUUUGUCGGGGUUCCUCCCAGUUUCAUAGUAAGGGGAAAGCAUGUUGACACUUUUCAACAACAUUCUUCCUGUGUGAUUUAAUUCUGCAGGUCAGGGAUGGCCUUGAGAGACCUCUGCUCGACCCGGGCUAGGACUGGCAGAGUUUAAAGCACCAUUCCACUGGACCUGCCAGGGUCCAUGGACUUAGUGCAGGCAGAGUAGGGGAUGGUAACAUUGUGACUUUAUACUCACAAUGUUACCAUCCCAGGAGAGCGUAGGCUCUCAUCAUCCGUGGACAAACACAAACCUUAAUAUCCAUGUAACAUUGUUUAACUUGUUUGUUGGUAGAAUAUUAAAAAUACGACAACACAUGCAAGUAGCAGACCAUUUAUGAAGACCAGUCCAAAACAACUAUGACAAUGCAGAGUCUUUCAUGUCCUGAAAAUGACCUAACACAAGUGUUUCAACCUGACAGCGAGAUUAUGGACCCAAUUGUUGGGUUUUCAAUCUCUUUAUAAUGUUUUUGCUUGUCUUUUUGAUCAUUUUUUUAUGUUUACCGUACUUCAAACAGAAGCCCCCAAGAACUGAGCCUGGCAACACUGAGUAAUCCAUCCAUAAAUAUGCUAGUGUCAUUUUUUCAGUACCAGAGGAAAUUUAAGAAAAAAUGUUUUUUUCCUGUAGCCAAAUGUAACCCGUCUCUAUUAUUGGUGACUAUGGCCCUGAGCAUUGCGCUCUUCAAAGCUCUGGAUCUGAAAGUUUUUUGUACAAAAACAGGUUUUGAUGCCAAACAUUACCAUUUUAAUAUUAGUUUAGGCAAAGGACCUGGACUGCAUGUAAAUCUGUUGUAAUCAAGCAAACUGAAGUGUUGAGGUAUGGAUUGAUAAGAACACAAAUCAUCCACUGGCCUGAACACGCUCUAGGCGUGAAUUUCAAAUGAUUGAGUAGCCAACAUGGCCAACAGCAUUGGCCCGCUUCCAAGGACUAACCACUAAAGGUAUGUUUCCUCUAGCAUUUGGCAUUGAUACAUGACCAGGUCUCCAGCCUGCAGUUACUGCCUUUUUAAAACCAAGGCUCAGGUCUGGCUAAGCAAGAAAUCUCUUUAGCUCAUUCACUGCUUAGAAACCCAGGAAACAGCGAAAAGAGAAAAUAUCUAUUUCAAUUCAAAAUGAAAGCUAGCACAUUAUUCCUAUUCAAUUGCAUUUUUUCUUGUUGCCCGGUUCAGUGAAAUUCAAGCUCUUCCAUUCAUUACCUAAGAACUGGCAGCACAUACCAAGAACCAAGACAAUUUACUGCAAUAGCAGAGAAGCUGGAAUCAAGAGGAUUCUAAGGGAUACAAAAUCAGAGGAUCCGGGGUUUAUUUCUACAUGCUAUGGUGGCCAAAGAAAAUGGACGCCCUCUUCCAUUCUAUAAAUCCACACAAACUACAUGACUGGCUGACCUUUUCUGAAGACAGACAAGUGAUUAUUGUAGACUGUUGAAAAAUAUGCUUGUGGUGGAUAUAGAGAAGUGGGAAGGCUGUUUCGUUUGCGUCUCUCAUUUACUUUCUUACUUGCGAGGUGGGUUAUAAGCCACUCAGACCACAGGGACAAUUUCAGGUGCAAUUUCCUGGCUGACCAAAAGCAGCUGUGCUCAGAAUCUUGAGCCGAGCGGUGUAAUACAAAAGCAAAUGGAGUAAGGCUUGAACUCUCUUACAUUUAGGCUCACAUAUGGUCACAUUUCUUGGAAAAAUGAGAAUAUCAAAUAUGUUAGAUUUCUCAGAACACAUUAUUCUCUUUGGAUGAAGACCAGAACUAUGAAUGGGCCUUUUGUUUCCACACCACCAUCGACUCUUUUAGUCUAUUCUCGUGAUGUACCCGUAAUCAUGAUUUUUGGAUUUUAAUCAUAUUUGGCGGCUUAAUCGUAAUAUUUGCUUUUUGUUAUGUAGGCAAUCAGAAAAAACAAACCAAUGGUUAAAUGUUGCCAACAAUGUCAAAUAUUUGUCCAGGGGAUUCAUUAACCACGUGUUGUGGGUGUGACUUUCUGCUGUUUCAUCACAAUUUAUAUUUGAAAUCUUUUCCCCUCUUAACUUUCCCAUAUGGACACAGGACUGUGUCGAAACUCAGAACCAGUACCACAAAUAAUUAUUUAGCUACAUAUCACGAAAAUAUACUGAAAGCUUUAUAUCUUUUGAUGAUUCCUGGCUACACUAAUCAGCAAUCCAAAUGAAAUUACUCCAAACACAAUAUAUCUAUUGAAAUUUUGGUAAAAUAAAAAUACUAUAAAAAUGUGUCCAAAAGCUGUGCGUACGGUUGUGUACAACUUGUCUGUCCGUCGAAAAUAAAUGCUACAAUGGAAAACAACACAUUAAAUAUCGCCCUGAAUCUAGUGAAAUAACCACCAAAUCAUAGCAGCAAAAAAGAGAAUUUGGAAGGUUUAAGUUCCAGACACUAGAUUGGGGCUGCCCAAACGUUUUCGGCUUGCGAGCUACCUCUCAAUCUACCAAGUGAUGGCGAUCUAGUAGUAGGGGUUACAAGACGGAAUAAAGUCUUUCCAUACCGUAAGUGCAAAAAAAUGUAUAUUAAAAAAACAUUGUCUGUCAGAAGCAUGGGAACCAAUCCAUACAUUCCUGGUCAUUACCUUACUCCGAUGACUUGCAGUGAUUUGAGUCAGCCAGGGUUUCUUUUGAAUGAAAUUAAAUGUGUUCAUUAGUAAGAGUUGCAAGCAAGAAUCAUUAAUUAGCACCAAGUUUUCUGCCCAUGUGUGAUUACCCGACGGGAUUUUUUUUCCAAAGGCACCCCUGCACUAAACUAUGUAUACCGGCUGUCUUCACCAUAAAAAAUGCAAAAGUAAACACAAGAAAAACAUUCUUCAAAGUAUAACAGACAAAACUAAGGAAAAGUACUACUGGGGGACAAUUGUAGUAGUAACAAGUAUCAAACAGCAAAGGAGCUGAGAGGGACAUAAUUAGGAAACUAGUGGUAGUACUGACUAUUACCAGCAGGGACGACCGAGAGCUAGUAUGGCAGUAGUAACGGCUAUCAGGACGGAGGGAGACAAAGUUAGAGACACUUUGGCAACGCUAUCCUUGGCUAGGAGCUACGGGGAAAAAUGGGGGCGGAGUACUCCAAAAUAACAGUAGAAGCGAGGGGAUUUCUUAAUGGUGGCAAGAAAGAAGUAAAAUUUAUCAAAGCAUUAAAUUAACAGGCUAGAUUACGGCAGCAGAACAUGUAUCACUGGACAAUGAUAGCGGACUCAAUCACCAUAAAUCUACAAACUACUAAACAUAUUCCUAAACGUUUAUAUAACAUAUGGAAAAUCUGUUCCAUGGUCAGUGUUUUGAACAGACCCCCAAACCCGCCUGUUUUUUAAACAAAACUAAAUAAAAGAAAACAAAAACAAAAUACAGCAAAAGUCUUUGUUGGUCCAGCAAAGUUUAAGGAAACGUGUUUUUUUUGCCGGUAUGUAAGCUUGGGUUUGGUCCCGUGGCACGGUCCUUGUGUGGGAAUGUGGCUUCAAAUUACUGUCAAUAAAAAUGAGAAAUAAAUAAGAUUUGUAUUAUAGGGUGGAAUUACAGAUUAAGUGGAUUCUCCAUUCAAUAGCUCUUCAAAAUGUAUUGUAUGUAUUUUCUGGCCAUAAAAUUGGCAAACACCAAAGAUCAAUGUCAACUGUUGCAGUGAUACACAUGUCUCGAUAACAAUUUUAGUAAAAAGGGAAAUUUAAAAACAAGAAAAGGAUAAGACUAUCAAUGUAUGAAUUAGUUUUUCUGCCGGGUAAACUUGUUUUACUUGCCCAGAUAUACCCACAGUACGGUUCCAUUUGCACAAACAAUGGAACAUCGGACUAAAUCGGAAAUCCAGGGAUUUUCAAUUUUGUGGAUGACAAAGAGUAAUAGAGUGAGCGCCGGGAGCGUCGGGGCCUGCGAUAUCCAAACACAGGCCUGGCAUUUCUUAUGCAUGGGAAAUGAAAUGUGUGCUCAUGCAGGUUGAGUCUUCCAGUAGACUUAAGCCACACUGGUAAGCACUACAUUUCCUCCCAGCCAUCUGACUGCUGCUGAAUAUAAAUGGAAAUUUUGACAGUACAGUUGCCGCUUCCACUACUACUUCUGCAAGGUACUUGCACGGUUAGAUUUCCAUUCUAAGUAUUUUUGUCGGCAUUCAGCCUGGGUUGUUUUUUAAAUAAAGUAUGCAGACCCUCUUGUCAGUUUCCUGGUCUAUACAGAGUGGUUUCUUUCUAUUGUGAAAAACAAGGCGUGGGGUGGUGUGCAGAAGCGACAAUCAGCACAGCGAUACGGCACCAUUGUACCAGGCUUCCUCUCGUUCCUUGUGCGGCCCUCUUUGUAAUAACAGCCCUCCUCUCCCACACACACUUUGGAUUUCAUUUUCUAUAAAGUAGCAGUCCAACGUACGGGGGGCCCCUCCGCAGACGCGCUCCAUCUCACAUUUCCUGCACUGCAUCCGUCCAGAGUCACAAGAUAAUCGGAGCUGAUGUUUUGUGAUUGGCAGGUCAGGAGAUCCUCCCUCCACCUCCCUGACACACACGUUCUUAAUGCCAGUGGAGCCAACACACUCUCACCAUUCAGAUCAUGAUAAGCAGGAAGAUUGUCCUAAAAGUUGCUAAAACGUUGAAAGUGAAAAUGCUCUAUCGAAUGAAAAAAAAAAGAUCUGCUGAUUUCUGGCCAAGAAAAGACAGCACAGACUUCUAUAUGGAGCUGGAGGAUCACGAAUGAACCACAGAUUGUGAAUCAUGCUGUUUUUGUUCUUCUCACUAAGGUGUUCAGUGUAACCUGAUCUCAACACAUCUGGCUAAGUGGAAAACGGUGUGUCUAUCUUUUGCAGGUCCAGGAAGAGUAGCAGGCCGCCUGAGUGAGGUCAUUUUUUUGGGGCCCUGACUUUUUCAAAGGGCUGUUAACAUUUGGGUCUAGAGUUAGAGAAUAAAGCUGUUUUUUAAAUCUUUGUCUUAUCAGCAAAUCCUUUCUCACUUCUCCGGUACUCAGCGGCAAGCCCAUUGGGGCAAUAGCUUUCAAAAUGGCUCAAAAAUAUUUUUUUAUUAUUAUAAAUAUAUACAUCGAAAAUAAAAUAAACAAAUUAAUCUCUAACUUAUAUGCUUUUCUUAAUAUGUACAUUUGUGUGUGUAUAUAAAAGGUAUGUGUAUUGUCAUGGGAGGAGUCAGGACGCUACAACACAGAGAGUGUCAUUAGUUCCCUGACGGGGUUUAUUGACAUUUCUUCACAGUACCAGGCAAGGCGGUGUACAACACAUGCAGGAGGACGGUAGUGCUCCUCUUGUGGUCUGUCGUCGGGUGGGCCGUGGGGUCAACGACGAGCCCGGGUUUCCGCGUCGUGCGGACUGAGUGUCAGGCGCUGGUCUCUGGGUGACAAAAAAAAAAAAAAGCGGGGUUAGAACACGUCUGUCUCACUCGCCCUCUUGGUUUGGUGUAAGCCUUUCCGCUUAUAUGGGGUUGGGUUAAGUGGCACCAGCUGCCGGUGCUCAACCGGUGAUUGUGGUGCGGCCGGUUUCCAUGGCGUCUGAUUGCGGGCCUCAGGUGACUCACCACAGUAUGUACAUAUCUAUAUAAUUCGUCAGUAUUUUCUAAAUGAUUAAUUCAAUAGAUAUUAUUAUUGCUUUCCAUUUUAGGAUUUUUUGUAUCCUAAAAUGAAAGACUAAAUAAAAAGUAGAAAAGGGAAAAAAGUGCAACAGCGUGGUUCUGCUCUAUGACGAAGAUAUUUCAGGUUCUGGACACACACAAUACUCGCUUUAUUUAGCCUUUUUAUUGCAUUUGUUUUUUUAUAAUAACAAAACAGGAUAUCCACAACCGUGUAGUGCGUAGAUAGAAAUCGUGAGGCAUUGCGUCAGCAAGGGAAGACAACUGUAAAGGUAAAUGGCGGGUCGAGUUAUAAUGAGGAUAUUCAAAUAGACACAAUCAUCAAAGGUUUUUACGAGUGCAUGGCACACCAAUAUUUUCAUCUUGGGUAUAUGUGGUUUUUCUAUAUCAUCUCUUUUGACAAUGCUAAUGUAUAUAUCAUUACCUUGGGGAAUGGAUGUAGAUUUAAUAUGUAUGUUAACGGUGUUCAUUUAAUUUAAUUUGUAUACUGUUAUGUCCCCUUUAUAAAAGGCAAAAAAAGGUAAAUACAUGCAAAUACAUGCUUUGGGACUGCGUAAUCUACAAUGACUUGUUGAUGUAACCUCCCUGAAUGAAAGCAGGAUGUCAGCAGUGCGCCUGAGACACAAAGCUGACAAAACAAAAGAAUAUUUCAGCCUCCACAUACCGAUGACCUGCGUACCACUGUGUUUUUCUACACAGGGAGGAAUUCCAAACCAAAUGAAAUAUGUUUACGUGCCAAUUAAAACUACAACCUGCCGGUUUAAGCUUUCCAAUAUUCCCCUCUUUGGUGCCACACGCUCAGUGAAAGAAUCGCAGCAGCACCGGCUUUAAUUCCUAGCGACUGGUGUGAGGACAAUCUGAGAAAACAAACAGAAACAAACCUUUAGGCCAAAGCAUCAUGUGUGGAGACACACGUUGCAUAAUUACUGCUUUCAUUAAAGGAGAGCAAACACUAUGUAACAGUAAAAACAGUUUAAAACAAUGGUUGAAUAAAGGAAUCACAUUAUUUAAUGAGUGAGGAGAAGAUUUAGGAAUGUGGGGUUGCAUUCGCCACCUCACCGCAGGGAGCCUUCCGAGAUGCGUUCAGAGCAAACGCUGUCAUCUUUGUAGCCUCGAACUGUUUGUAUGCGUUGGUAAAGCGGAGGAAAGAAGGCUACGCCAGUGUCUCCUGACAGCUCAUACUUGUUCCGUGAUGUGGUUGAUUGACUCAUGUGUUUUGAGACCAAAUGAAAAAGCAGCUGAGCAGCAGGGCCGCCGUCGCCUGAAACCAGCCGCCUUCCCAGCUUCGUUGGGAAAUAUUACACUUUAAUGGAGGUUAUUGUUUAUGACGUCCUUUGUUCCGAAGAACCUCAAUUCUCUUACUAUCAGCAAACGUAAUAAAACAAGAAGCACAUGUUUUGAAAAAUACCGUACAUAGUGAAGACAGCAGAAGAGAGGACUUACUUGUAUCCUUGUUCCCAUAUAGUCCAGAUUUAGGUGCUUUAAUUAUCACAUUGAAAGCUUGACUUGUUGGGGAUGUUAUGUUUCUUUUUUGUUGGCGUUAGUGCUUUUCAGAUAUUUUUAAUUAACUAUUAAUGUUCUCACUUUAAAUUAAAUUAAAUUAAAAUAUUAAUAACUACUUUGACUUCGUAAACAUUCUCUAUUUUACUGACUUCUAUUUGUACAAAAGGAGCAAUAUCACAGUAUGUCUUGUUACAUACUGUCACAGCGUUGUUCAUUGCGGCUCUUCUAGGCCGUUUGAGACACAUGUGUGUGAUCUACUAAACUCAGAUGUGUUCAACAAAAGAGGAUCAAGUCACAAUGUAUCAGUGCCAACGUAGCAUUUGUGUAUCUAUUUUUGAGGAAUAAAAAGGCAUGAUCAAAGUUAUAAAAGAGGGUGAAUAAAGAGGGCGUAAAAGCACUUGGGACAAUGUGGGCUGUCUUUGUUAGAUGAUAAACCUAUUGGUUGCAGAUGACAGUUUCUUUUCAAAAGCUCUACAGCAAAUCACUUUCAAAUAUCCAUAUUGAAUUACUUGACAUUAGUUGGCAUCUUAAAAGCUCUUUGACACCAACCACCACAGAGUUUCAUCCUUAUUUUUAAAAAGGGUUUCAGACCCCUGGGGAACAUCAGUGGGGGGAAAACAUUUUAAAAACAAUUUCAACAGAUUCCCAUCUGUGUAAAAACAUGUUUGAUCAAAUAAAAGCCAUUGUUCUAACUGAGGACAUUGUGUGGCAUACAAACAUAAAUGUCUUUCUUAGAAGUCCUUCCAAGAAAACAAUAGUUGCUCAGUGCACAUUACAGGCCCUAAAACCGAUCAAUAGCAUCAGCACCAUUAACUUGCCAAUGCAUUGAUGCCCUUUUCAAUGACUUCAGUUGUUCUUCCUCUGACAGCCUGGGAAUCAUGACCCAGGAAACCGAGGGAAGGAGACAGUUUAGUAAUAUCUUCUCCCCUUGGCCUCACAUCUGGCUCUUAAUAGCACUUCACAGCAGUAAUGGUUUUGGGGUUAAUGGUAAUAUGGAAAUUACUCUAGUAUGUGUGUGUGUGUGUGUGUUUGUGUGUGUGUGCAGCAGAGGGUCGGCCCGUCCUUUAUCCCUCGAACUGUGACUAUUCAUCAGUGUGAGUCUCUCCCUCAUUGGAAAUGUGAGACAAGACUGAUACGAGCCUGCGGCAUCACUGCCUUCACCCUCCUCCUCCGGCUCUCCCAAACCAAUGCAUGCACACACACACACACACACACAUACAAACACACUGGGAUUUCAAGGCCUGAUAGCUUGUGAGUUUGGGCUUGGUCCGCCACCGAUGUGCUGUUUUAAUGCUUUUUUAUAUUAGCUGCUCCAGUUAAUUGAACAUAACUGAAGGUUAGUUCUUUGUCAACUCAUCCUAUUCAACAGUUUACCAACAACAAAUCAGCCAUUUAAGUUUAGGAGAUCGGCCAAGGUUAUAUCACAGAACAGAAAAACAGGAAGUGAAAAUUUGGGUCUAUGACUUAAUGCGUUGGCUUGCACCCAACUAAACAGUCAGGGUUAAGGUUGCUGGAGCUAACAGUUCUGGAUGUAUUCUUGGACCUGCCAUUGUGUAGGUGUGUGUGUGUUUCCUGGUGUUACGUUUCAGUUUUUGUGCUGAUGGGAGGAAACGCUAAUUUAAUUUCAGUCUCCUUUGAAUGCAUCAGGGAUUCCAAUAUCCAAUACUCAAUAAUUCAAGCUAAUACGUUAUAGCCGGACCACAUUAGCUGUGAGAGCUCGCAACAUUACCAUUUAGAUUUAUACGGUACUGUAAAUAUGAGUGAGUCAUAAACACAGCUGUUUCAAAAUGGUGGGGUUUUGGGGAAAAAGUACUUGUUGGAUGAUUAUUUCGGAGUGAAUCGUUUUCUUUUGCGUUUGCUGAUUUAUUUAAUGGGGCUGUCCAGGUGAGACAGAGUAAGAAAUACCGACAGACAGCUGUCUUAGUCCUGACCAAACACGUUCAUCUACUCUUUGACCAUGGAUCACCUAGAUGAGUCCCUGCGAUUUAUGGCCUAUAACCACUGUGGGCUAUAACAGAAGAUGUCAUUAUACAUUCCAUGGCAGAGUGGCUCCUCCCGUCUGUUCUGUCCCAUUGAGCGGCGAGGUGCUUUUCAAAGGAGAAGCACCAAAGACGGGUCCCCCACAAAUUGAGAUGCUAUGGUCAUUAACUUUUAUUCCUCAACAAUGAAUAUAAGCCGGAGAGCCAAGCCUUCACUCCCAAUAUCACCCUAUGCCAGCGACAGAGGUCCACUGGGGGAGGUGAAGAGAUUCUGGAGGUUGGAUACUCAAUUUCCUGGUUUCAAAGUCACUAGUUGCCACAGUAGAACUGCUUCAAAGUGUUAAAGGAAAGUGUUCAACUAUAACCUACUCAUGUGCAGUAGUGUACCAGGUCCGUGGGUUAAGACAAAGAUCACAGAGGAAGCGCCCAAUUGAUCUUCUUCCUCAAUUAGUUGCCUCACAGCUGACUCAUGGUUACACCUACCAAGGUUUCUAAUUCAAACUGUUUCUAUGAUAUUGUAUAACCUUCAUCAUCAAACUAAAUAACUAAUAUAAAAAGCCCCACGUGCUUAUUUUGUGGGGUUUGCCUCAAGCAGCAACCAUGGAACUGAAUGUUUGAGUAGGAAAUAUCACUGAAGCAUAAUGAUGACAUAGUGUAAGUGUGUGGGGGGGAAGGGAGUUAAAAGACUUUGUAGCACCUCACUCGGCUGGAGGGUGGGGAGAGCAGGAGACGAGGCUUCACCAUGGGGUUCUCGCUCUAUGUGGAAUGUUUUGCUUUUAGGCGAUGAUGCCGGUGAAGAUGUUGUCUGAGAAUCAGCCCCCAGUCCUUGCUUCAUCUGUCUAUUCUCCAUAUCCAUCGCUCCUUCUCCAAUACUAUUUUCCAUUCCAAUGAAGGAGCAAAAAUACUGCAACCCUACGAAUCCACGCUGCUUCCGGUAGGUGGAACACAGACCGACCCUUUAGUAAAGUUUUUUGGAUACUCAGUUCAAGAAACUUAAGAAAAAUGUUGAUAAAAAUCUAUUUUCGUGAGGAAUAGUUGUUUUUAGGGGGUUUUGAGGUCUUGCCUGCUCUUAUCUACGCUGGCAAUAAAACCGUUUAAAAUGAUUCAUGCUUAAAUGCUAAAUUUGAGUUCAUCGUGUGAUCUCUGAUUGUCACUUUUUUUCCUCUACUGUAGAAGAGCUUGAUCGUGGCUUGUUUGUACAGCCGUAGCUUGUUAGAUCUGGUGCCUUCUUCAUACGUUUGAACUAGCUGACUCACAGCCCGCCGCAUUCCCUUCAGUUCAACUCCCACACAGACAUCCACCGGGAAAAGGAAGACACACAGAGAGUAGGGAUUAAAGAGUGGCACGGGGAGGGACUGUGCAAAAAGCCAUAUAAAAAGGGCAGAAUUAAGUUUCUGUGUGAGCAUGACGGAGCGUGCCUCAGCUGGAGAGACAGAGCACAUCGUAACAGUUCAGGGAUUAGCCCAGAGCUGCCAGCGAUAAAUGGAUGUGAGUGGCCCCGCUGCAAGUCAAAGGGACAGCCAUGUAAAUAACAUUGUCAGAAUAUUCUGCAAUCUAGGCAUAAUUUCCCCCGUCCCUGGCCCACGGAGGAAAAAACAGAACCUGACAAAUUGUCCUUUGAAAGUUCAAAUGAGCAUUUCAGGCUUUCUGGAAGAAAGGGCCUGUGUUAGCUACAGUAAGGGCAGUGCGAGGAGAGCCUAAACAGGCCCAUGCACUUCCUGUACCGCAUGCCUGGCUUGAGUUCUGAAAAUCAUUACGACACCAUCUGUCUGUCAUGACUGUGGCAUAUUUACACCUCACAUAUAUGACAUAUAAACGAAAAGCAGAUGCAAAGAGAAGUCAGAUCCACCACUUACAGCUAAUGGUUGAAAAAUGUACGCUGCUAAUAAAAGGCACAAACCCUGUCCAUUCCAAUAUGGAGACUGCUAUCGAUGAAAAUACCAUGUUUCAAACCAACUCAUGGAGCUAACAACAGAUUGAUUAGCGAGCUAUCAGCGGCUGCAAAUUGUUUUAGCAGACAGAAUCAACAGGAUGGUGUUUGGCACCGUUUUGUGAAAAUUAGGGCCAAUUAUUUGAAUCUGUUAUUUUUUUAACUCAUUUGUGGAAGAAAAAAAACAAUUCAAGGGGCAAUUUCACAAUGAGUACAAAAAAGUGAUGGCACAUAGCCUUUGAUACAUAUGUCAUUGAAGUUACUUAAGAAACAAAUGUAUCUUACAAUUGGUCCACAUUGACUUUUGGUAAAUGAUAACUGUCCUUGUACAGCUCCUUUAUAGUCGAGCUUUAAAAUGAUGAGUCAUCAUUCAUCGAUUCACACAAACUCUUCCCUGAUCAGAGGAGGUCAGAUCUUCCUGCUCCUUUUGGGGAAAGGAACAACUUCUGUCUGUACUUACGACUUGUGUUGAUGAUUUCCGUAUUCUUUAUCAUUUUCUAUAUUCUAGUUAGUAAUAAAUACUUAAUCACAAAGCAAGUUCAAGAUACUUUUGAUUUCUCACAAGGGCUAAAUCCACAAUUUCUAAAAAAAGCUACCAUACACAGGGACACUUGCCCAUUAGUAACUAACUUUCACACACUGUAGUUACAGCUACAGGAGCUAUUUGGGGUUAAGUGUCCCUCCCCAAAGACACAUGGACAUGGACACAGAGCUGGGGAUCAAACCGCUGAUCCUUUGAAGCAUGACCCUGCUCUUCCUUUGACCUAUCCAUCAAGCCCUAGCAGGAUAUUUGAUGGCGUUCAGGGUGAUUAGACUAUACUACCAACUGGGGUGUCUGAAGAACGUAAUUACAAAAGCAGUGUCGUUGUAGGGUAAUGAUAGGCAUUGAAUGAAAUAGAAUAGAACUGUAGCAAAUUAAGUAGUCUAUUGGUAUCUCUGGCUUUAGGGGUCAUGAUAUUGGCACUGGUAUUGCAUAUUUGUAAAUGAUAUCCAGUCCUUGCAGUCUUUGGUGCUCUUUAAAGAGCAGCAGCUGAUUUGAGCAUUAAAUAUUGUGAAAUAUAUCGUUUUGUAAAUGUAACGCCAUGUGACCAUCGUUGGCCUUUCCAAAUCACUCAAAUGAUUCAAAGAGAUACAUAUCAAAUAUAUGUUUUCAGCAGAUAGGAUAUAUUGUUUAUAAGAAUAUAGUGAUUGUUCUGGCUAAUUACUGUAAAUGUUUGAUCAUGUGGUAUCUGAAUCUUGCUCUUAAAGAUAUGAUUUGUUAAACUGGUGACAGUUAAGAGCAAGAGGAAACCGAGCAGAAGAGAUUAUGUCAAGUAAUUGUAAAAUCGUAUUUCAAGAUGCUUUUCCUCCCAGUAUUAUUUCCAAUAAACAAAUGUAUCUUCAACACACAAACAACUACGCGUAAAUCCGCUCAGGUCAUGGGCUGUCGGUGAGUUCAGUUUGUAAAUUUCUCCAAUGUUUGUUUUUCUCUCUUUUAAUGAAUGCCAGAUCAUUCUGAAGAACUGAACGCUGACGUGAAACUGUGCAUUUUAUUUAUCCUAUCCACUCACGUUGCACUCAAUCAGCAUGGUCCUAUAUGUCAACCAUCUAUUAUUUACAGUUGGUUAAAUCAAUACGUUUUUCAAUGUGCUACAGUGAAAUGGUUUAAAGGAAGUGAAUAAUGGCUGAGUUACAUUUUGCAGCUUCAGUUUCAUGGUCCUGGUAUUGUUCAUGCUGACACACUGUCAGGACAUACUGGGAUGGUAAUUUCAACAUUAUUAAAUAAAUAGUAAACAGGAAUAUGGUGGAGAGGGAUGAUUGGUAGAUAGCACCUGACAGCAAAUCGAGGCAGUGGUCUGUGUUGGCUGUUGAAAAGCCGGGUGGCGAUCACUUCAAGUUUUACAAUAACUACUCAUUUAUUCCCGAGUAACAACUUCACAUGCCAAAUGCAGAAUUUCCCUUUUUGCUGUAAAGCAACCGCAAAGUACUUAUUUUCGAAUAAACGUUGACCUAGGUGUCAAAUUAUGGACCCUCAAAUGCACACAGAGCUUAAAACUUUAUUGUGGUCAUUGAGCCGCAACCGUGGCUUCGCUCCUUUCUAAACUCCCUUUAUCCUCAGUCAUCAGACCUUAUCCAGGACCCAGAGAUCCAGUGUCCAUGUUCCCAGUGCAACAGUAGAUCCAGCCCGGCCCUCCGUAACUCACUAUUCUGUGUGCUGUCCCCAGACUACUGGGCCGCCCUGCUCCACAACACUACAGAGAGAAAUAAUAAAAGGAAAGGGAAGCAACAAGGUGCAACCCAACACCCCCGAGGAGUCCUCUCCCACUAAAUGGGAGUAUUGUGGAGCAGCUGAAACAAACAGCAGUUUGUGUGCCAACAAAGAUUCCCAAAGGAGCUGAGGAGAAGGAACAGAGCUGGAAUACCAACUUGUGGCUGCUCCUCCCCCUCCACUCUCACCUCCCACCACCUCGGCUCGUAGUGCUGUGAAGCUUUGUGGGAGUGAAAGUUCGCAGAGGGGCGGCAGCCUUUCUAUUCGCAUUCCACAUAGCAUCACCGAUGGCUGAAUUGAUACCAGCGACAGGAUGUAAGUCCUAAUCUUUUAAAGGAUGUAAUUCAUACUUUUAUAACUGCAUAAACAUUCCUUCUACAACGCCAAGCAACACUCUGACUAUUGUGUCCCAAGAGGGAACAAUUGAAGAAAGAAAACUAGAUGAGGGUAAAUUAAGUUCUCCUUCAUAAACAAGCACUCUAUGGAUGUGUCUCCCUGUGCCACAUCAGGGUCUGUGCUUCCAGCAAGGAAAAUGCAGUUUAACUUCUAUGGUGAAAGUUAACAAAAGCAAGACUUGCGGAGGAGUGUACUAAGCAUCGAGCAAACAGAGUUUGGAUCCGUGGAUGUCAAUCUGUAGUUUCAUCAGAACGAUGUGUAUGCCAGCUUGUAUACAACGUUGUGUUCAUUCCUAUUACUGCCAUAAGUAUGCCUGCCAAAGUCAAUAUUUUACCUUCCUAUUUGUAUUUCUUUCCCCUUUUUCUCUCUGCUUUGGAUAACUAAGUGACUUGUUUCCCGGUGGACCUCGGCGACCCAUUGCUGGGUUUGUUUGAUGCAACCAGAAUACUACAUGAAGGCCUGGCUCUUAGCAGAGGUGUCUGUCCAGAGGGAGAGCACAGGCAGCUUUCGGCUACAGAAAAUGAGCGAGAGGAAUAGAGACAGAGACAGUGCAGUAGCUCAGUCUGCAGACAGUCAUCCCUUAAGCUUUUGUUGGCUGCCAUUUAAGUGCCUACAGUUAGACUUUGUACGGGCCGUCCUCACACUUAUCCAAUAUCAGAAUAUCCGCAAAGUACUGAGCCAGCAGCCUUCCCUUUCUCAAAUGCUCUCAAAACUAUCUUCCCCAUUUUCCAUGUUUCUCCUUUCGGCAUCACAUGAAUGCAGCUUUUCCCCCUUUCCUGACCUUGGAUAAAUCCUGUUUGGGUUAGUUUUUGCAAACAGGAUUAUAGGAAUAAAAGGGUCUGUCCGUUAAACACAAAUCAGCAGGAUUUAAACAGGAUGCUGAAUUUCUUCACACAAGGAUUCAAGCGUGUUGUAGCAUUGAGGAAGAAAUGCAUUGACAGACACACGCAGAGCGAGCUGGGACUGUGAGAUUGAUGGCUGUCACAUGAGUGACUUGAAUGACUAUUCAUGACUCCGUGCAGCGGGGUAACACCUCUAUGUUUGUGCUGGUCAUUUGUUUUUUCUCGGGGCCUGUGCGAGCGAGCGCGACCGGAGUAUUCCUGCAUUGACAGUCCCAAUCAAUCACAUCGGCCACUAGAGUGCAGAGUUCAAGAGACGUUUUGGCAGCGGGCUUCACUAGGGGCCCUGCCAAGGCAAAGAGACUGAACUGGAGUAAUGAUUUCCAUUAGGCAGCUUUAUGAAUAUUUAUGACAAACAUCUGCAAUGAAAACAUUGCAUGAACGUACUCAAAGUUGGUGGAGCUUUCUCCCACAGACAGGCUGAGGAGAUGUGAGCCAAGCAAACAGGAGCUCGACAGCUGAUGUCUGAGAAGACUGUUGUGGGGUUAAAGGUCACAGGUGAAGAGGUGUCAGCCAACGGCAGGAAAACCAUGUGUCUAGGGUCAUUCUUAGCAAUUUACCGCUUCAGGGGCUACUGGACCAAAGCCCAUCCCUUAACAUGAUUUAAAUAGAUGUGUUUAAGUUGCAGAUGUUCACAUUUCCAAAGGUUGGAAAUGAAACCAUGGUGGGAUUCCCCAAUAUCAUUAUUCUGACGCUAUUAUUUUAUUAUUAAUUUUUGCUUUCACAAGGUUUUUGACAAAAAAAACUACAUUCAUGAAAUAUCACAAUCUUUAUAUGUCUAAAAUCUAAAUCUAACUCUGGACUGAUAUUGCAAAACCAUGUAAAAUAUAUGUAUGCCUAGCCUCAUGGGGUCAGAUCAGUCUCAAUAAUUGCAAAUGCGCAAAGAGCGACUCACAAAUGCAAACCGUAAGAUUCACAAAUGGGCACUGAACAAUUAAAUUAAUUGCAAUUAUUGAGACUGAUCUGACCCCACACAGCCUUGUGUACCAUAGCAUUUGGCUCAGCAGGGGUUCGCGUUAGACCUGAGCUUAAUAUCAAGCAUUGUUUCGGUGAAGCCUUGGACCCUUUAAAAAAUUAUAGAAAAGGCUAAUUGAACACUUGUGUAUUUGGCAAAUUAUUAUGAGUAAUAAUGAAUUGACACACACAAUUGAUAUUUUACAGGGAGCUGUGGAGAUUUUUUUAGUUUAUAUUUCCAAACUAGUAACUCUCGUUCAUGUGGGCCCUUCACAGCAGUAACUACCAACAACAACCAGAUAACAGGGAGUGCAGUGGUUGAAGGCAGUUAGAAUAUUUAUUAAACACAAAACUCCAUAGGUCGGUCACGUGAAGCAUCCUAAGGGAGGAUUGUUGAAACCCACCAAACAGACCUUACACAGUCCACAAAUCAAUGCUGUCACGCAUCAACAUGAUAAUUUAAAGCAUUUAGAGCUCUUUUCUCAUGUUCUUUAAAUGCACUAAAGAACCUUCAAAGCAUUACGACUGCAUUUAACGACUGGAAACUGAGGACAAGGAGACGUCCUUUUGUGUAAUUUUUGUUGACUCAAUGUGCUGAACUUGGUGUUGCCAUCUCUCCUGUCAACAGUUUUAAUACGACCGGUUCAACCCAGAGCUGCCUAGUUUGGGACAUUCUCCAAAGAGAUAUCUAGCCCCACAAAUGAAGGACAAGGACUUUUGAUUUUCAAAAAGGCUUCGACCAAAGACACAUUUGUCUAAAUGAAAAUCACAAUUAGGCUUCUUUUGUGUCCUUAGUUAGUGAUACGGUUGCUUUAUCGAAUAACACUUUAUCAAAUAGUGAAAUACUAUUUCAUGAUCAGCAGUUGGAAUUAGUGGUGAAUAAAUCUUUGGUGUUUCACAGAAUAAACUUAGUUUCCUGAAUGAAAGAUAAAAUGUUUAUUUUUCUUAGUACAAUUCAAGAGCAAUUGUGUAAAAAAAAUCUACCUUAAAUAAGAUAUAAUGAGACCGUAGUCUAAAAGAAUGGGCCAGUGUCUGCGACAUUCAUCAGAUAUCAUAUUACACCGGCUGGCAUUUGACUGUCUGUCACAGGUGAUCUCAAUCCAACUGAGCCUGACAUCAGAGAGCAGCGUAUAGGAGGUUCCCACCGGGUCAAACAGAGUCUUGAUCAGAUGUCAAGUUAAUGAAAACCUCCAAGAUGGGGAUGUCUGUGCCUACUGUAGCUCAUAAGCUGGAGACAGUUGGGAAAUUUGUGGUUUGGGUUUUAUGAGAAUGCAGCGGCCCAUGGGAAAUGUUUUAAUUUGGUUUGUAUGCUAAAGUAGGGUGUGGGUGGUCUUGACUGCUGUCGCAAGCUGCUCCAUAAAAGGAAGUAGCAUAAAUGUCACUUGCUAUUUAUUUUAACCAACAUUCUUACUGUCUCCCGUAGAAAUGGCUACAAACAAAUGUUGUUGAUUCGUGAGUGUGUUUUUCUGUCUUCCUUCUAUAAAUAAAUAUAUGUCUAAACAUACACAUAUUCUUUAAAACACAAUUGUAGAAUCUUAUGAGUGAAUAAAUAAUUCACUGAUAAAGGCACAAUUUACAUGUUGAGGGAUUUUAAAAAGAGAACAUAUCUUAACACACCGGAGUUCGGGGGGGUGGGGGGGGGGCCUGUGGAAAGCUACCUUGUCUUCAGAAAGUUGCAACCUGGGACCAGCCCAGCCUAUCUGUGACUACUAAAUUUCAUGUUAACAUUCAUCUCUUAAAUCAGAUCUUCUUCAAUCCUGAACGGAAAUAUAAGAAUGCUCAAUGUGUUUUAGUUAUUUGUCCACAUAUUUAACUGAACUUUAAAUUAACUUUUACUUUCUGUAAAGUUCUGGUCCGUACUUGUAAGUGCGCUAUAAAUAAACCUAAUUGACUCAACUGACACACACAGAGGUUGAGGCCAAGCGGUGUCCUGUUGACAAUGAUUGAGCGAGGAGUGUGUUUCAAGUGGUGGCAACAGCCCUUCCGUCCUCAUCCCUCCUUCUAUCUUUUGUUUAGAGUGGCGCUCCAUGUCCCAGUUAGUCCUACUAGCGAGGCUUGCCGGCCCCCCUUCACAACCUCACCAACUGUUGUUCAUGGAGGAAGUGUCAUCCAGGCCCUUAUUAUUCCAGCUGGGCAGGAGAUACCUCUGCCACCCAGCCACGGGCUGGAGAGUUUAGCCCAAAACUGCUGCAGCGAGAUAAAAAGAACCUUUUUCAGAGCAGUGCUUUCUGUGUGAGCCAAAUAUCUUCCUUUAAGAUAACAAACAAGGGGAUGUCAUCUCAGUACAGCCCACUAUCAGAGGGUGGACUUAAAAAAAAGUUGGAUGACCCUUGCAAAGUGUUUUCCGCAAUGUGAGCAUUCUUCUCCAUUUCUGGAGGAGGGUGGGCCAAACCAGGUGUCAGAAGUAAGGAAAGAAGUUACACGCCAGGGAGUUGGAGGGUCAAACAGGGUUGGGCUUGUUAUUCAAACAGACGCUGCCAGGUCCUGGCCUUCAACAGAGUUUGUGAGACUUGACGUUGAGCUGCUUCCUGCUUUGAACCCUUCGUAUAUGACCUACUCCACGAAGGAUUGGUGAUUCAGCAACAACUUUGACAGCAAAAUUGAGCAUGGCAGCACUCAUAAGCUGCAAAAAAAGUGUUCGGUGUAAGUAAUGGAACCCCCAAUUGGUAGGAUUUAGGAACAUCAUUCAUGGAAAACAUUUUUACCAGCGAUAAAUCACAGUGGCAGCUGAUGUUGACCGAAACAUUUCCCAUAGCCCUUUCUGUAAAAAGACACUCACAUCAACACUGUUUGGUGGCUACAGCCAAGGAUCUGUGAGUUUGCCUCAUUCACCUCCAAUACACCUUUAAAUCACACACAGACAGGUCUCUAAGUGUAGGGUUAGGGUUGGUGUAGUGUCCCUUUUAUUUCUGUUUAGAAUAAAUAAAUUAUACAUAUAACUACAUAUUAUAUAUAUAUAUAUAUAUAUA